Molecule: ribosomal RNA, 617 nt
Filed under: Claudopus viscosus
Lineage: Eukaryota; Fungi; Basidiomycota; Agaricomycetes; Agaricales; Entolomataceae
Description: LSU rRNA
Rfam family: Eukaryotic large subunit ribosomal RNA
Source: RNAcentral
AGGAAAAGAAACUAACAAGGAUUCCCCUAGUAACUGCGAGUGAAGCGGGAAAAGCUCAAAUUUAAAAUCUGGUAGUCUUUGGCUGCCCGAGUUGUAAUCUAGAGAAGCGUUAUCCGCGCUGGACCGUGUAUAAGUCUCCUGGAAUGGAGCGUCAUAGAGGGUGAGAAUCCCGUCUUUGACACGGACUACCAGGGCUUUGUGAUGCGCUCUCAAAGAGUCGAGUUGUUUGGGAAUGCAGCUCUAAAUGGGUGGUAAAUUCCAUCUAAAGCUAAAUAUUGGCGAGAGACCGAUAGCGAACAAGUACCGUGAGGGAAAGAUGAAAAGAACUUUGGAAAGAGAGUUAAACAGUACGUGAAAUUGUUGAAAGGGAAACGCUUGAAGUCAGUCGCGUUGACCAGGGAUCAACCUUGCUUUUGCUUGGUGUACUUCCUGAUUAACGGGUCAGCAUCAAUUUUGACCAAUGGAAAAAGGUGAAGGGAAUGUGGCAUCUUCGGAUGUGUUAUAGCCCUUGGUCGUAUACAUUGGUUGGGAUUGAGGAACUCAGCACGCCGCAAGGCCGGGUUUCGACCACGUUCGUGCUUAGGAUGCUGGCAUAAUGGCUUUAAUCGACCCGUCUU